GACGAACGCUGGCGGCGUGCUUAACACAUGCAAGUCGAGCGGUAAGGCCCUUUCGGGGGUACACGAGCGGCGAACGGGUGAGUAACACGUGGGUGACCUGCCCUCAGCUCUGGGAUAAGCCUGGGAAACCGGGUCUAAUACCGGAUAUGACUCCAUGACGCAUGUUGUGGGGUGAAAGCCUUGUGCGGCUGAGGAUGGGCCCGCGGCCUAUCAGCUUGUUGGUGGGGUGAUGGCCUACCAAGGCGACGACGGGUAGCCGGCCUGAGAGGCGACCGGCCACACUGGGACUGAGACACGGCCCAGACUCCUACGGGAGGCAGCAGUGGGAAUCUUGCGCAAUGGGCGAAAGCCUGACGCAGCGACGCCGCGUGAGGGAUGACGGCCU
Molecule: ribosomal RNA, 385 nt
Filed under: uncultured bacterium
Lineage: Bacteria
Description: bacterial SSU rRNA
Rfam family: Bacterial small subunit ribosomal RNA
Source: RNAcentral